CUCUCUCUCUCUUUUUUUUUUUCAUCUGAAAUCUCCAUUUUCCUUGCCGUUUGUAACUCCUGCAGGAUUUUUCUUAAAGCCUUCCCAUGGCACCGUUGUCUACACCGCACAAAAUGAAGCAGACCUCUUUCCUGGGGACGCGGGGAGCCGCGGGGUGCUGGAAAGGAAUGGGUGGAAGGCAGAAUGACGCCUGGACACGCUCCCAUUCUGUGACACAUAUGCCUGCAUCCUCAGGCUCCAGGCGACCGACGGUCGGUGUGGACAGCCUCACUCAUGUUUACCUGUUCGGGCCGCCAUUACUCACCUCUUCCCACACACCCCCACCCUGGCACACAAAGCCACGGAGUGACAAAACAAUUUUUUUUUUUUUUUAAAAAAACCUCCCCCCCCCAGCCCCAUUCUAAAAUGUCAAGCGUUUCGGUUUUGAGAAAAAAAGAAAGCUGAAGAAAGCAUGACUCAUGACAGGGCUGACAAACAACUAUCCGGAGGUAUGCUAGUGAGUCACGCUGUGGAGAUCUGCCUUUAUGUUGUGGAAAGGGCCCGGGAUGGAAGAAGCAUCAUGGGACCAGCCAGUAAAAUUCCACUACGCUCUGAAGCCCAUUUGGAGGUGAUUUCAAAACACUGGGCUUUUUCCGGCCCCGACCUGAUGGGAGGCUCUGGGUACCCUCAGGAACGGGGCCCAGAGAGCUUGAGUGACUUCUCGGGUGCACAGCACAGGUGGCCAGCCUGCAUCCAGGGCUCUCUGUUCAUGACACCAGGAACCAGGAACUUGCCAGCUUCUGACCCUCUCUUAUGAGUUCAUUCAUUCUGAAGACAGUUUUUUUCUGUUCCUCAGAACCAUCCGGUUGAGGUAAUUUGGUGACCGGCCACCCCAGUUUGCUCAGGACUGAGUGGUUUCCUGGGCUGGGGAUUUCCAGUUCUAAAACUGGGGAUGCCCUGGGCAAAUUACGAUGAGUUGAUCACCCUAUGUAAGGCCUUCCAUUGACACACAGUCACCUGUCCAG
Molecule: long non-coding RNA, 1004 nt
Filed under: Felis catus (domestic cat)
Lineage: Eukaryota; Metazoa; Chordata; Mammalia; Carnivora; Felidae
Description: lncRNA (ENSFCAG00000041824.2)
Source: RNAcentral